This is a long non-coding RNA of Eucalyptus grandis, 1231 nucleotides long. RefSeq lists it as uncharacterized. The transcript has 2 exons. The record is from RefSeq and is a predicted model, not a curated record. NCBI's taxonomy places the organism in Eukaryota, Viridiplantae, Streptophyta, Magnoliopsida, Myrtales, Myrtaceae.
AAGACCAGAAUCGCUUCCUUCCUAUUCAUCAGAGCGAACGAGAGCAAAGGACACCCCCGUCGUCGAGAAAGGCUCGAUCUCAUCAACCUCGAUUCAUUCCCAGCGGAAGAAGCCUCUUCUCCCCUCAUGCUGUUCGCAUCUCAGCUCGCGCAAGGUAGCACGACGAGAUGGAUGGUCAUGGCGAUUUGAACAUCCUUCCCCAGAAACGUUGGAAUGUGUACAAUUAUGAGAACGGAGAGAAGGUCCGGAAAGAUGAAGAGGCUGCCGUGAAAGAGGAGCAGCCGAAGCGAGAGCAAGCGAGGAAGCACAAUGCUGAGUUUGUCUCGAGAAGCUUCGUGCUGCCCGUGGCUUCGCUCCUGCCAGUCAACCUGCUGAAGCUCCUGCUAGUCAGCGAGUGGAGCCAGCUGGGACGAACAAGAAGUCUGGCCAUAUCAAUGUCUUUGAGGGAAUUAAGAUUUUCGACCCAGUUGAACUACCAAAAAAUGGGGCAGGAAAUGAAAGGGAUGUAUUCAAGAGGUAGAAGAUGAAGAAAGAGGAGGUGCCGAAAGUGGUAACCGCAGAGGAUGAGAAAUAUAGAUUGGGAUAUGGGAUUGCUGGAAAAGGAGUUAAAUUGCCAUGGUAUCUUGAGAAACGGGGUGAUCACGUUGAUGGGGAGAAAUUUGGGGAUGAAGGGCCGUCGAGGGAUGAGAAGGAGCAGGGAAAGAAAAGUGGGAAGAAGACAUUGGAGGAGCUGAGGGAGGAACGGAUGAAGAGAGAAAAGCAGGAGAAAGAAAGGGCAAGGUCAUUGAUGCUAGAGAAGAGCCGAAGGGAUGGAAAUCUACUUAAGGACAAGGGUUUUCAGAGGAGGUGACGCUGCAAAUUUUGGUCAUUUAGACUUUUGAUCGUACUUAUAUGUAGACCUUGCCUUAUGGCUGAUUGAGAGGGCCUGGACCGUGCUAUUGGUUUGGCAAGAUUUGGAUUCUAAGGUCCUGUUUUCGGAGGUUUCUGCUCCCUUGUGCAGUUCUCCAAUCUACAUUUGCCUUGCGAAAUAGGUUCCCUCCUGUAGAGAUAUGAAAGCUUCACUUCAGAUUCUCUUUGAGAAAGAAUGGACUGGUUCGCCUGUACUUUUCAAAUCCUGGAGACGAUCAACGGAUAAUCACAGCUUGUAAAUGUCUAUUCCUUUUCAUUUUGGCUUUCUUGGUCAUUAUUGCAUUAUGCUGGAAUGAUAUCACUUUGAUCCUUCUGCAAGUUA